GAUGAAGAACGUAGCGAAAUGCGAUAAGUAAUGUGAAUUGCAGAAUUCAGUGAAUCAUCGAAUCUUUGAACGCGCAUUGCGCCCGCUAGUAUUCUGGCGGGCAUGCCUGUUCGAGCGUCAUUUCAACCAUCAAGCCCUGUUUAGGCUUGUGUUGGGGCCCUGCGGCUGCCGCAGCCCCCUAAAUGCAGUGGCGGGCUCGUUGUCACUCCGAGCGCAGUAGCGUAUCUCGCUCUGGGCGUGGCGGCGGGUGCUAGCCGUGAAACACCCACUAAGGUUGACCUCGGAUCAGGUAGGAAUACCCGCUGAACUUAAGCAUAUCAAUAAGCGGAGGA
Molecule: unclassified non-coding RNA, 332 nt
Filed under: soil metagenome
Description: partial contains 5.8S ribosomal RNA, internal transcribed spacer 2, and large subunit ribosomal RNA
Rfam family: 5.8S ribosomal RNA (bases 1-120)
Source: RNAcentral